This is an RNA transcript of Macadamia integrifolia, 1551 nucleotides long. RefSeq lists it as uncharacterized. The record is from RefSeq and is a predicted model, not a curated record. Lineage: Eukaryota; Viridiplantae; Streptophyta; Magnoliopsida; Proteales; Proteaceae. The transcript has 3 exons.
AUCUUAGAGAAGAAGGCUUCUAGGCUCUUGGAUAUGGGGUUUCAAAAGUAGAUAAUGUCCAUCAAAUCUCUGUUACCAAAGCUUUGUAGAAGUGCUCUUUCAGUUUCAGAUACCCAACUGAAGGAUUUGAAGAGUUUCCUGUGAUACCCCAUAUCAAAAUGCAGCUGCAUGCCUCGGGCGUUUGGACAUAGCCGACACUAAGGGCAACUGGGCUGCCCAAUUGGCCAGUGUAGGUUGCACAGUGGAUAAGGCAACUGCCACUGCACCUGAGCCAAGUAGUGGAGGAAAAUAGGCCAAAAUGGUGUGUACAAGGUCACACACAUAUCUGGCCUGAGGGCCAAGUGGUUGGGACUGCUGGGGGACAGUUUUGCUGUCACUGGCAGGUCACCUGCCUGACCACCUGCCGGUUGUGCUGUCUGCAGAAAAAUUACAUUAUUGUCCUGUGGGUCCCACAUCCCUUCAGGCAUGCCUCGACCAAUUAUAUGAGUUGAAAGGGUAUCUCACACUGGUUAUGUGGCACCCAACAUGCAGACGAUCAGGUGGGCCCACAUGCCAGUACUGGGGAGGAGAAGGAGAUAAGGAGGGGAGAAGGAAAAGGGCUGUUCUCUUGGGCUGCAUGAAGCCUAAUGCUGCUGCUGCUACCACCAUUGCAGCUGCUGCUAAUGUCUUUGCUCCUGCUGCUGCUGGUUACUACUGCUAUACAUGCAAGUUAUAGGGAGUGUAUUUGUUGUACAAAGAAGGUGGCUGCUGCCCAAAGGUUAGAAUUCAGCUGCUGUCCUACCAUUUCUAUUCUUAUACAAGCUGAAAUUGAAGUUGGUUGCUGCCCUGGUGAUGCUUCUUCUGCCUCUGCUGCAUACAUACUGCUCCUACUGCUGCAUGAUAGCUGCUGCUGCAUAUACAUGAUGUUGCUGCUGAUCCUUGCUGUAGCUGCUGUCCAAGUAUGGUUCAUGCAAGCUAUGGAAGGCAAAGGCUGCUUCCAAGUUGGCCUUUCUUACUGCUGCUACCACUUCUCUGUUGUAUACAUACAUACAGGAACCUAAGAUGCUCGGCAAGAAUACGUGAUGACGGGAAUUCAGUGACAAUACUUUGGAUUCGGGUAUCAAGGAAAAGUCAUGAGCUCGUUAGAUGAGACGUUGAAGAAAUGGACCACAGACAUAAACAUGAGGGCAUCAGGAUUGCUGGAAUCCAUGAAUGUGUCAUUCCUCUGUCGGAUCAAGUGUGUGAAAUUACAUCAUCAGUUACUUCGGCAGGUGCCUCAAAAUUAGGAUGCCAACCUGCAUGUAUUUCACUUUGGAUUAGAGAUCUGCCCUACUCUCGAAGAAUUUUGGAUUUGUAUGUUAUCCCCACCCAUAGGAAGGUUGUUCCAACCAUUUUUGAAGAAAGAUUAUUCAGAGAAAAUUCAGGACUUCUUCGGAUGGAAAGAAGAGUAAGUGAAGCAAUUUGUCAUGUACGGGAAGAUUGACAUUCUGAAAGUGACCCAUAUCUUCAUCCAAUAUCUACCAAUGGGUGGAAUCUAUCAAUAGAGAUCACAAGAUACUUAUUUAAUUUGCA